GAUGAACGCUGGCGGCGUGCUUAACACAUGCAAGUCGAACGAAGCACUUUAUUUGAUUUCCUUCGGGACUGAUUAUUUUGUGACUGAGUGGCGGACGGGUGAGUAACGCGUGGGUAACCUGCCUUGUACAGGGGGAUAACAGUUGGAAACGGCUGCUAAUACCGCAUAAGCGCACAGCAUCGCAUGAUGCAGUGUGAAAAACUCCGGUGGUAUAAGAUGGACCCGCGUUGGAUUAGCUAGUUGGUGAGGUAACGGCCCACCAAGGCGACGAUCCAUAGCCGACCUGAGAGGGUGACCGGCCACAUUGGGACUGAGACACGGCGCAAACUCCUACGGGAGGGAGGAGUGGGGAAUAUUGCACAAUGGGCGAAAGCCUGAUGCAGCGACGCCGCGUGAGCGAAGAAGUAUUUCGGUAUGUAAAGCUCUAUCAGCAGGGAAGAUAAUGACGGUACCUGACUAAGAAGCACCGGCUAAAUACGUG
RNAcentral lists this ribosomal RNA (481 nucleotides) under uncultured bacterium. RNAcentral's name for it is "partial 16S ribosomal RNA". It matches the Rfam family "Bacterial small subunit ribosomal RNA", at positions 28 to 507 of the family's 1533-position model. The record is from RNAcentral.